AACGAACGCUGGCGGCAGGCCUAACACAUGCAAGUCGAGCGAAGCCUUCGGGCUUAGCGGCGGACGGGUGAGUAACGCGUGGGAACGUGCCCUUUGGUACGGAAUAGCCCCGGGAAACUGGGAGUAGUACCGUAUGUGGUCGAGAGACGAAAGAUUUAUCGCCAAAGGAUCGGCCCGCGUUGGAUUAGGUAGUUGGUGGGGUAAUGGCCUACCAAGCCGACGAUCCAUAGCUGGUUUGAGAGGAUGAUCAGCCACACUGGGACUGAGACACGGCCCAGACUCCUACGGGAGGCAGCAGUGGGGAAUCUUAGACAAUGGGGGAAACCCUGAUCUAGCCAUGCCGCGUGAUCGAUGAAGGCCUUAGGGUUGUAAAGAUCUUUCAGUGGGGAAGAUAAUGACUGUACCCACGGAAGAAGCCCCGGCUAACUCCGCGCCAGCAGCCGCAGUAA
RNAcentral lists this ribosomal RNA (449 nucleotides) under uncultured bacterium. RNAcentral's name for it is "partial 16S ribosomal RNA". It matches the Rfam family "Bacterial small subunit ribosomal RNA", at positions 29 to 523 of the family's 1533-position model. The record is from RNAcentral.